GUACUCGCUUUGGCGGUACAUAAACUAAAACUGGAACGAUACAAAGAAGAUUAGCAUGGCCCUGCGCAAGGAUAACACGCAAAAUCGUGAAGCGUUCAAUAUUUUU
Molecule: small nuclear RNA, 106 nt
Filed under: Trichobilharzia regenti
Lineage: Eukaryota; Metazoa; Platyhelminthes; Trematoda; Strigeidida; Schistosomatidae
Source: RNAcentral